CUGAAUAUCUUCUGCAAAAUAUUUUUUUCUUCAAAACAAAUCAAUUCUUCUACCAAAAACUUGGCUGAGUUUUACUUUCCUUGCAGUUUAGAUUUAGCUCACAUAAUUUUACUGUUAUAUCCAUCAUAAAGUAAAAUCUGUGCAACCAUUUAUCGUUCUAUAAUUCAGAAUGAUUAAUGUUUGUAUUUUUCAUUUAGAAAUGUAUUCAUUUCAUUCAAACACAUCGCAAAACGUUUCAAUACCAUACCUUUGGAAAGCCAUCGCACUUUAUUGUUAAGCAUGAGGUCGGAAUACUGAGUCUCCAUUUUGUUAAAAAUUCUUUAAACUGACGAUGGUAGAUUACUUGAUUACCGCAUUCAUGACGUCAACUAUUUCGGCCGGAGAGGUUUGUAUACAAAGCGCUACUUCGUGUAUUAUGCAGUGAAACGUAAGAA
Molecule: non-coding RNA, 434 nt
Organism: Biomphalaria pfeifferi
Lineage: Eukaryota; Metazoa; Mollusca; Gastropoda; Planorbidae
Source: the annotation of a GenBank genome assembly